Non-coding RNA from Paramuricea clavata, 1279 nucleotides. NCBI's taxonomy places the organism in Eukaryota, Metazoa, Cnidaria, Anthozoa, Malacalcyonacea, Plexauridae. The record is from the annotation of a GenBank genome assembly.
CUCUACUAUAUAUAUCUGGAGAUCGCGCUCCCAUAUCUCGUCAAACAAAAAAGUGUCCGCAAAAACAUGGCGGAUUUCGAGCUCCGCGUCCACUAUUUUCGGGCGAUUUACCACUGACCACAUAAUAUUUUUUAAAGCCACCUGUUUUCGCACCCCCCUGGAUGCAAAAAGUAUACACUGUGUAAUUAUUAAACUAUCAAGUUUCACAACUUUAUAUUUUGUCAACAUGCCGCGUUUGCUCGGUUUAUGGUUGUCACAACUCCUUUGACAAAGACCGGGACUGUAUUCACACUGUCACUGGUAAGGAAAUAUUAUUUUGUGCUAUCAUUCGAGAAGUUUUUUUCUGCAAAUGACAAUGUAAAGCAAACGGUAGUUUAUGUUUUGUUCACGUGCAUGUGUCACCAGCUUUUCUCGACUAUGGCUUCUUUUCUGAGGUUUUUGCAUGCAGUUUGUUUCAUUCAAAUAUUAUAUUUCCAUUGUUCCUUGUGAUGUUCUCGUGUGCGUUUUUCCUACCUACUGUACAGUGUAUUUUAUAGGCCUGUUUGUAUUUAUGAAAGCAUAUUGUUAUUGAAUUUUUUCCCUUCACAUAUUUAAGCAUUCCUGAUGCAAAGAAGCAUCCAGAAUUGUACAGCAUAUGGGUUGAGUAUAUGAAUAAACAUGCGCCAGUGAAGUCUGUUCCUGUGAAAAGUAGUUGUUUGUGUUCAGAUCACUUUAGUGCUGAUAUGUAUGAGAUAAAGGGCAAAAGCCAGAAAUUAGUAUUGAGACCGGAUGCUAAUACCAACAAUAGUUACACAACGGUUUGCUCAGGUCAUUGGUGCGAGUUAAUUAAAGUGUUAUAUGUAACAGUGUGCAUGAUUUACAUUCUUUGCUAAGGGACAAGUCAUUAUUAAUGCCGGGUAGGGGGCUGGUGGAAAUUUUUAUGAAUAGCAAAAAUUUUUCAUGACCCCUUAUUUUUCUAACAAACUAUCCCCCCCCCCUUAUUGAGGCAACAUAUUUCAUAGCCCCCCCCCUCCACCCCAAUUCUGAAUUCAAUUACUCUAAGUCAAUUUCGUAACCAUUUUUCCUGCCCUCAUACUCAGUUUACUUGCAGAUGUAAAGAAUAUUGUAAAUAUUGAAAAUAAAGAAUAUUGUAAAUAUUGAAAAUGAUAGCCAAGUAGAUAAUUCAGACUUUAUACCUGAAAAGUUGUUGGUCCUCAAACAAAAACCCACACAUCAGACCUAAUUUUACUAAUUGAAAAAAAUACAUUUGUGUCUGGUGGAAGCAUUACUGUAUAUUGAA